CUUCAACAGCCGUUACAACCAUUCCAAAAGUCUGGAAAGCAGCCUAUGUCACGCCUUUACAUAAAGGUGGAGAUCCGUCCCAGUUGGGCAGUUCACACCGAGGACAUGUUGCAGUUCACACCGAGAACAUGUUGCAGUUCACACCGAGGACAACUGGGACUCCUUCAUCUGAGCAGAACCUUGGAAGAAGAAACACUGCAGUGACCGCCAUGGAGACCUCUACACCUUUCUUAGCUGCCUACAAUACCUACAAGGGUGUCUGCAGGUUGUUAUAAAUACCUGCCCAAAUUAUUCUCCAGUCCAUAGAGAAAGUCUUCAACACAAUCCCAAGCUGCUUAAGACUCUGAGUAUACAGGACCCGUCUCCAAAAUCUAAUGGGGCUACUGGAAUCCAUAUAAAGCACGCCACAUAUAAUACAACCGGAAGGCUGCUGAAUCUGAAAUGCUUUAAAACAUGGCCAAGAAUAGACUGUAACUCCUCUGCCCACAUUUUGGAAGAUACUGGAUGGACAUCUAGAACAUGCAGUAAGGUGUCGGGGAAUCAGAUUAGACCAACAUUGAUUGGACAAUGAUUAUGAAAGAUAACAGAUAGAUUGAAUGGAUAUGCAGACCUUAUUAUAUGAUUAUCACAAGACAUGCUUCCACAUUGUUUUCUGCAUGUGGAGUUCUGAAUGCAUACAACAUUAUUUGUAUUUCUUUCAUUCAGCUAGUGUUUCUAACUUGCAUGAUUCAGUAGGUAAGACUUAAUUUAGAACACAAGUUUCCCUACUCCACAGACAAACAAGCCGUUUCAAAGGCAAAAUGCUAGCCCUGAGUCUCAGUGGAACUGAGCCGGUACCGAGAGACUGCACAUCUCACCUCAACCGUACAGACUGUAUUCACUCUGUCUGCUCAGAUGAAGUAAAUAACCUCUAAACUGUCUGGCUGGGUAGAAAAUGAAUUGUAUUCUUGGUUCAGCAUUAUUUCUUGUUAUAGUCAGUAUCGAAAUAUAAUUACAGUGGAACACCCACACAGUCUGACAUUUUAUUGUUACCUAACCCACCAUUACGAUGUGCCCUUUGCCGCCUUGGAAAAAACAACAGCAAAACACCACCUUUUGAAAUAAAGGCAGUAAAUAAUUGAAGUCACUAUAUCUGCACAUUUCCACUAAAUCUCUAGCAGCACCUAGAGGUCAUUGAGGCAUUACAUCACCUGCGUCACGCUGCCUUGGACCAGACAUGUGAAAUACAUGUGGUGUGUGAUAACAAUCAAGAUUUGUCUGGGACUAUGUGAGGUCAAGCACCCUUUAUAAUUGGCCUCUAACAAACUGGUGUAGAGAGAGCGUAUCCAUGUAAAGGGCGCAACCAGGAAAUGGUACAGUCAUAUUCUUUAGGCUAC
This 1376-nucleotide long non-coding RNA is filed under the name Salmo salar (Atlantic salmon). RNAcentral describes it as "lncRNA (ENSSSAG00000082835.1, ENSSSAG00000096400.1)". The record is from RNAcentral. Lineage: Eukaryota; Metazoa; Chordata; Actinopteri; Salmoniformes; Salmonidae.